RNAcentral lists this ribosomal RNA (659 nucleotides) under Bacillus amyloliquefaciens. RNAcentral's name for it is "bacterial SSU rRNA". Lineage: Bacteria; Bacillati; Bacillota; Bacilli; Caryophanales; Bacillaceae. The record is from RNAcentral.
UACAUGCAAGUCGAGCGGACAGAUGRGAGCUUGCUCCCUGAUGUUAGCGGCGGACGGGUGAGUAACACGUGGGUAACCUGCCUGUAAGACUGGGAUAACUCCGGGAAACCGGGGCUAAUACCGGAUGGUUGUYUGAACCGCAUGRUUCAGACAUAAAAGGUGGCUUCGGCUACCACUUACAGAUGGACCCGCGGCGCAUUAGCUAGUUGGUGAGGUAACGGCUCACCAAGGCRACGAUGCGUAGCCGACCUGAGAGGGUGAUCGGCCACACUGGGACUGAGACACGGCCCAGACUCCUACGGGAGGCAGCAGUAGGGAAUCUUCCGCAAUGGACGAAAGUCUGACGGAGCAACGCCGCGUGAGUGAUGAAGGUUUUCGGAUCGUAAAGCUCUGUUGUUAGGGAAGAACAAGUGCCGUUCAAAUAGGGCGGCACCUUGACGGUACCUAACCAGAAAGCCACGGCUAACUACGUGCCAGCAGCCGCGGUAAUACGUAGGUGGCAAGCGUUGUCCGGAAUUAUUGGGCGUAAAGGGCUCGCAGGCGGUUUCUUAAGUCUGAUGUGAAAGCCCCCGGCUCAACCGGGAGGUCAUUGAAACUGGGGACUUGAUGCAGAGAGAAUUGAUCACGUGUACGUGAUGCUAAGAUGUGAGACCAUGCGA